CUGUGGAGGCAGAGUAGGAUAGAGAAGGGGUCGCUGUGGAGGCAGAGUAGGUUUUUCAAAAGGGGUGGAUAGGAGAGGAGGGGGUAGAGGGGGGUCCCCAGCCCCAGAAUGCAUGGAGGUCAGGUCCAGAUGGUGUGGGAACAAAAGGGCUUUUCUGGGGGAAUGGCAGGGGGGAAUCGUGGCACUCGCCAUUGUGUGUGUCGCUGCAUUGCAGGGUGCUGCCGGAAAGCCUCAUGCUAAUGUUGGUCAUUCAGUCCUCUAAUGGAUGUGCACAAGCUUCUGUUAGCCUGCUUUUCACAGUCACUCAUGUAGCCAGACUAGCGCCUGUGCUAACAAAUCUAGGCAUUCGGUACGAGAGGAAAAAGCGAUAGCGGAAUGGUAACGUCAAAGCGAUAGCGUCAAGGAAGUUGUGCAAAUGUGUUUGUGCAUUGUAAUGACAUGAUGACAGGUGCUGAGUAGUGUGUGUUGUUGUGUGUGCGUAUGUGUGUGUGAGUGUAGUGGGGUUGUGUGUGUGUAGGCGGGUUGUGUGUAUGUAUGAACACAACAUAUUUGUUGUGUGUGUGUGUGUGUGUAAUGCAUCCUAUGUGUUUUGAAGCCGUAUUAAACCCCUAUGAUAUAAACACACACACACUUUGUGUGAUUGACAACCCAGGAGUAGGAGUGGGUGGUGGAGGGAACUGGGGGUGGCAGCCUUUGACUUUAUUAUUCCUUAUACCAAUGUGCAGAUCAUCCAAAACAAUCUCAAAUAUGUAUCUCCUUACUCUGGUACCUUCUGCUGAAAUAGUGAUCAUUUUUACUUUCUACAAGGUUGUUUUACACCUAGGAGCAAUUGGAUGGUUUUAAGAUCAUACUAAUAUUUAGCAGAUGUUAUUGCAGGUGUAGCGAAAUGCUUGAUAUUCCAUUGGUUUUGUUUUGUCACUAGAGAGUCUACACCUAGGACCAUAACGGUCUGUGAAAAGUCAUCCACUAUUCAUUCUGAUACCAGGUCUGUGCAAAGUCAUCCACCAUUCAUUCUGAUACCAGGUCUGUGUAAAGUCAUCCACCAUUCAUUCUGAUACCAGGUCUGUGUAAAGUCAUCCACCAUUCAUUCUGAUACCAGGCCCUGUAAAGUCAUCCACCAUUCAUUCUGAUACGAGAUAUUUCCAAGAUAGAAA
Molecule: non-coding RNA, 1154 nt
Organism: Salvelinus sp. IW2-2015
Lineage: Eukaryota; Metazoa; Chordata; Actinopteri; Salmoniformes; Salmonidae
Source: RefSeq, a predicted model, not a curated record